Molecule: long non-coding RNA, 654 nt
Organism: Drosophila gunungcola (fruit fly)
Lineage: Eukaryota; Metazoa; Arthropoda; Insecta; Diptera; Drosophilidae
Exons: 4
Source: RefSeq, a predicted model, not a curated record
CUUCGGUGUCCUCGCCACAACGCACUCACCCUUCCUUGGGUGCCCUAAGAAUAAUAUUGGAGGCACACCCCAUCUCCGGCAGACCGGAGUCUAUUCCUGGUGGAUUAGGAUCUGCUCAUCUCCCCGCCCAAACAACACUGAAGGCCGAACUCAGACCGUCGCCUAGAUGAGAAGUGGUCAUAGCGAUAAUGGAAGGGAAAUUUUUUGACGCUUAAAAUUACACGGAUGUGAAUUACACGGCACCAAAUUGGAGGCGUUUGCCAACCGGGUCACCUAAUACUGAGGAGCUCCAAGGGAAAAGAAGGGACGUGCUAAAAGGUUGGACGCGCGGCUGGGGUGCGGAAUUAAUGCCUCUAAUUCCAGAUUAGAUUUCACAUUCAACGUUGCUCAUUGUCGAAGCUGCGACCAGAAGAAGAGACCGCUUGCGGCGAAACCCGAGUCUGCACGGAGCCAAAUGGUCCGGAGGAUUCACACAGCGUCUGCGUUAGAGGGCCUGGAGGCAGUGCGUCAGUGGUCCCAGAGAUGACCAGGUGGUCAGCGCGGGUGUUCGUUCCCGGAACGGACUCACCGAGGGAAUCUCCGUAUGUGGCUGACGCGGAAGGCUGUUGAUGCUGCUGAUCUCUGAUGCUGCUGCGCGGAUCACUGCUGCUAAUG